Molecule: transfer RNA, 55 nt
Filed under: Parafilaroides normani
Lineage: Eukaryota; Metazoa; Nematoda; Chromadorea; Rhabditida; Filaroididae
Description: tRNA-His
Source: RNAcentral
UAGCUUGUUAGUUUAUAUAAAAUUUUUAUUUGUGGGGUGAAGGAUUGUGGGCUAG